ACCACCCUAACUGUCACACCGGCUUCACAGGCAUGAGAAGAGAGAAAGCAGUCAAGGGCAGCCAAGGCCAACACAUCCGAUCCUAGCAGUGCACUUGAAAGGUUUAGGCAAGAGGGUUGGCCUUAGGGUUGGAUGCUUGCUUGAGUUAAGUAGUAAGUUCUAGAUCAGGCUGAGUUACAGAGUAAGGCCCUGUCUCAAAAAAGAAGACAGAGAGAGAAGAGGAGGAGAGAGAAUCUUAAUGUUUUUCUUCUAUGGAAACUUGAGUAAGAGGGAUAUCUGCGCAGCCCAAGGAAGCCAAGCAUGGCCAGAGGAAUCGCCACAAAUCUCCCACAAAGUCUGGGAGAGGAAAAACUCACAAAGAUAAGUGUGGGUAGAAGAGGGAUAUGAAUCUUCAGACCUGAUCCAACCCAGCCCAAGGAAGCCAGGAAACUUGAGAGACAUAAAAGAGCAGACUUGGACCACAGAAGCUGCAACUAUCCAGGAAGGUUGUGCAAUUAUUGGAGUUUGGAACCCAAUGAGUGUACACUCAAAAGCUUUCACCCCAUCUGAGAAAGAGCUGAUCCACACAUUUGGUCAUCAAGAUGUCAGUCUCCCACCGCAAGAGUGGUGCUGGUUCCAAGCCUGCUUGGGAACACGGCCCAAUUCAAAUCGUCUAUCUUGUUGCUACUGGGAAAUGACAUCAUCCCCGAGGCGUUGAGCCACUGCUAAGAUGACAAUGACACAAGAUGGCUGGCUGCCCCUUGAAUAACAAAUACCUCACGGGAGAUGCCUGCGGCUUCCGUUUCCUGUGACUGACACCCCACUUGUCCUUGUGUGCUUUUGCAUCUAUCUCAUCAUUGUUAGAAAGUUUAAAGAACACAGCCCAUUCCUAGAGUUGAGUUAUUCAUCCUGGAUUCUUGGGAAAAAAAUACACCAGAGGAAAAAAAGGAAGAAUUUGCUGAGAGGGUUAUCCUCCCAGAAGAGCUGGAAAAACUGACAGAAACUUUCCAGAGAGUCUGGGAGUGUAGAUCCUCACCUACCUGGGUCACUGGCCCCCCUGAUAAAGUCCUCAUGACAAUGUUCCCACAGUAUUAGGAUAAAUCACAUCUGGUUUGUACCUAGAUGUCCUCUCACCACUUUAGUGUCAACCACACAGGAUGAAAUCUGCUGUACAGACAACACACCAGCCGAGCUACCACUGGUUGGUGAUGUAGAAAAGUCCUGUGAAGAUGUGGUCCCUUGGACAUCUGGCUCACACACACAAGCUAAAGAGAAUGUCAUACAAAUUAGGCCAGGUGAGAACCCCAGGCCUGAUAGCAAGAGCAUUGAUUCCUGUCCAGGAGUAUGAUCCCAACUCCAUGAAGAAAUCUUCAUCCACUGGGUUUCUGACCUUAGGCUGAAUCCAUGUAUGCAAAUGUGACUCUCUGAGGGCUCGUCUGUCCUUCUCAUCACUUAAGAAAACCUAAGUCUUGUGUCUCUGGACAGAGUAGAGCUCAUCCGUAUUAUGAAACCACAAGUCUCGUGUCUCUGGACAGAGUAGAGGUCAUCCGUAUUAUGCCGCUCCUCUUGCAUGUGGUGCUCAGCACAUCUGAUGGCUAGUGGUCCACUCCUGGGUCAUGAACAUUUCCCAGGGCUUUUACAUUUUCCUCAAUGUUAUCAUUGGCUGGUCACCCAAUCUCUGAAAGAUAGAUAGAUAGAUACAUAGAUAAAUAAAUCUGUGCCAGCAACUUUCAAGUAUACAAUACAGCGUUUUGUGCUACACACCCACCAUUUUACAUUAACCUUCUUUUGAACUUACAAAGAACUUAGCAGUCUCCUCACACACUGGAGUUAACCUCCAUUUAUUCACAGUGCUGGUAAAGAACUUACUGUGAAGAGUAAUCCUUCCCAAUUACAAGAAUAUUCUUGUAUUUGGUUACAAAUAGCUCUGCACUGGGAGAGGAGUCCAGGACAGCUGUUGAGAGCGCUUUAGCCCUGGAUUCCUUGCCAGACAAGGCAUGAUUGGUUGGACUCACUGAGAAUUCUGACUUGUUCCCCUCUCAGAACCAUCCAACCCAGACAGCCUUUUUUGUCUAGCAUAGAUCUACACAUGUAAGUACACAUGUACCACACAUACUAACAUGCUUCCAGAGUCCGUAAUGGUUGUGUGCUCCACUAAGCACAGUGAGUACACGGGUUACUCUGGGUAUUUCAGGGAGGAAAGGGUCUCUACGAGAUCUUAAAAAAAAAUAAACAUCACAUAAAGUAUAGCAUUAUAUGGCUGCUCUAAAGGGCUCCCUUUAAGCUCUAUGUUCUGAUGAACCCAACUUACCCUUUAAAAAGAUACAUUUGUGGCAACAUUGCUUUGCUAAAAAAAAAAAAAAAAAAAAAAAAAAAAAAAAAACUCAAGAAAUCUGAACUAUAUGAAGUGAUGGGAACCCCAAGGGCCUGAAAUGAAGACUUCCCCACAUCAGACACCUUCUCAGAAAGGGACUUCUCUUUCCUUCCUGUACCUGCUCUAAAGGCAACCCGACCUCUGCUCGGACUAUCAGGUACUGUUAUCACACAAGCCUUUGUGGACCCCAUUUGCAACAUUUUUUUCUUCUUCCCUGCCUGCUAAGGAUAUUCUCACUUGAUGAAACUAUUUGCUUUGGUUAUUUUCUUUCUUUCUGUUCAUUUCUGUUGAGUUACUUUAGGUUUUUUUUUCAUUUUGUUUUAAACUUUCAGCUCAAAGAAUUCCUGUUUCGUUCCUAUUAAUAGUUGCUAGAUAAAUCAUCCUUUAACUAUGAUUCACUCACCAGAGAACUGUAAGCCAGUAUCCUGCUGUGGGGGGUUAGUGUAAAGGGGGUGAAGAAGAGAGGGGGGAGAGGGGAAGAGAGAAGUGGGGGCACCAGAAGAAGGGGAGACAAAAGGAGGGUUUCUUUGCUCAAUUGUAAACAGAAGUGAAGAAAUGGGAUGAUCAAAAAUCAAAAUAUUUGGAAAUGGCAGCAAAUGAAUAAAGCAGUUCAGAUGGUA
Long non-coding RNA from Mastomys coucha (southern multimammate mouse), 2973 nucleotides. RefSeq lists it as uncharacterized. The record is from RefSeq and is a predicted model, not a curated record. NCBI's taxonomy places the organism in Eukaryota, Metazoa, Chordata, Mammalia, Rodentia, Muridae. The transcript has 6 exons.